Molecule: ribosomal RNA, 274 nt
Filed under: uncultured bacterium
Lineage: Bacteria
Description: partial 16S ribosomal RNA
Rfam family: Bacterial small subunit ribosomal RNA
Source: RNAcentral
AUACGAAAGGUGCAAGCGUUGUUCGGAUUUACUGGGCGUAAAGCGAGUGUAGGUUGUUUAUAAAGUCGGAUGUGAAAUCCCGGGGCUCAACCUCGGAGCUGCAUUCGAUACUGAUAGGCUAGAGUUUGGGAGGGGUAAGCGGAAUUCCGUGUGUAGCAGUGAAAUGCGUAGAUAUACGGAGGAACACCUGAGGCGAAGGCGGCUUACUGGACCAAUACUGACACUGAGACUCGAAAGCGUGGGUAGCAAACAGGAUUAGAAACCCUUGUAGUCC